UACUAAUUCAGUCGUGGUAACUGUACAAUGGAGCCCUUAUCAAUGCAGCAGCGUGGCGCUCGUCUAGUGAUGUAGUCGACACCUCGUAAAUACGAUCUCGUGCAACUUAGCGCAUGCGCACAACAACACCAACAACACCGGGGCACCAAUAUCAGCAUAGCAUACGUAGACGGACUGAGAAACAAUUUAAAUACGAGUAACAUGGACAUUAACAUGAAGUUGCGGAUAUCGGAUCGGUUUACAUCGAGAGCGAGCCGCGGCACCGGCUGCGAUCGUAUCGCCGCCAUGAAACAUGUGUACACCGACGGUUGCAUCAGUUUAUAAUUUCCAAUGAUGCGGAUGAACAUCCAUGAGGAGUCAGCGCUGUCAUCAUAUUGUUUCUACAUGGGUGGUUAACAUCUCCCGUUAGACGCGACACGGGCACGACGGCGAUCGACAACGGCGCAGUCCCGUCGGCAGCGCACGACACGCCGUAAAACAAGUAGAUGAGGUGCAAUUGGAAAACACUGGGUUGUAUUGUGAACGUGGAACGCUGAUAAUCUACCUGAUGGCAAUUGGCAAUCGUCGCCUAUAGUUAUGAACAGAACGGCGUGAAAAAGUUAG
Long non-coding RNA from Galleria mellonella (greater wax moth), 603 nucleotides. RefSeq lists it as uncharacterized. Lineage: Eukaryota; Metazoa; Arthropoda; Insecta; Lepidoptera; Pyralidae. The record is from RefSeq and is a predicted model, not a curated record. The transcript has 3 exons.